Molecule: ribosomal RNA, 253 nt
Filed under: uncultured bacterium
Lineage: Bacteria
Description: partial 16S ribosomal RNA
Rfam family: Bacterial small subunit ribosomal RNA
Source: RNAcentral
AACGUAGGAGGCAAGCGUUAUCCGGAUUUACUGGGCGUAAAGCGCAUGUAGGCGGUUGGGCAAGUGGCGUGUGAAAGCUCCCGGCUAAACUGGGAGAGGACACGUCAGACUGCCCGGCUAGAGGUCGGUAGAGGGGCGCAGAAUUCGGGGUGUAGCGGUGAAAUGUGUAGAGAUCCCGAGGAAUACCAGUGGUGAAGACGGCGCCCUGGGCCGAUACUGACGCUGAGAUGCGAAAGCGUGGGGAGCGAACGGG